RNAcentral lists this ribosomal RNA (253 nucleotides) under uncultured bacterium. Its description in RNAcentral is "partial 16S ribosomal RNA". It matches the Rfam family "Bacterial small subunit ribosomal RNA", at positions 524 to 776 of the family's 1533-position model. The record is from RNAcentral.
UACGGAGGGAGCUAGCGUUAUUCGGAAUUACUGGGCGAAAAGCGCACGUAGGCGGCUUUGUAAGUUAGAGGUGAAAGCCUGGAGCUCAACUCCAGAACUGCCUUUAAGACUGCAUCGCUUGAAUCCAGGAGAGGUGAGUGGAAUUCCGAGUGUAGAGGUGAAAUUCGUAGAUAUUCGGAAGAACACCAGUGGCGAAGGCGGCUCACUGGACUGGUAUUGACGCUGAGGUGCGAAAGCGUGGGGAGCGAACAGG